This 20-nucleotide microRNA is filed under the name Corchorus capsularis. Its description in RNAcentral is "sRNA CCACVL1_28110". The record is from RNAcentral. Lineage: Eukaryota; Viridiplantae; Streptophyta; Magnoliopsida; Malvales; Malvaceae.
CCUUUUCUCUCCCUUUCUGG